GUGAACGCUGGCGGUAGGCCUAACACAUGCAAGUCGAACGGCAGCACAGUAAGAGCUUGCUCUUACGGGUGGCGAGUGGCGGACGGGUGAGGAAUACAUCGGAAUCUACUUUUUCGUGGGGGAUAACGUAGGGAAACUUACGCUAAUACCGCAUACGACCUACGGGUGAAAGCAGGGGAUCUUCGGACCUUGCGCGAUUGAAUGAGCCGAUGUCGGAUUAGCUAGUUGGCGGGGUAAAGGCCCACCAAGGCGACGAUCCGUAGCUGGUCUGAGAGGAUGAUCAGCCACACUGGAACUUAGACACGGUCCAGACUCCUACGGGAGGCAGCAGUGGGGAAUAUUGGACAAUGGGCGCAAGCCUGAUCCAGCCAUACCGCGUGGGUGAAGAAGGCCUUCGGGUUGUAAAGCCCUUUUGUUGGGAAAGAAAAGCAGCAGGUUAAUACCCCGCUGUUCUGACGGUACCCAAAGAAUAAGCACCGGCUAACUUCGUG
This 491-nucleotide ribosomal RNA is filed under the name uncultured bacterium. RNAcentral's name for it is "partial 16S ribosomal RNA". It matches the Rfam family "Bacterial small subunit ribosomal RNA", at positions 29 to 507 of the family's 1533-position model. The record is from RNAcentral.